GUCCCUAUAGCUCAACCGGACAGAGCGCGGCCCUCCGGAGGCCGAAAUUCCCGUUCGAGUCGGGAUAGGGACG
This 73-nucleotide transfer RNA is filed under the name Parcubacteria group bacterium RIFCSPLOWO2_12_FULL_40_10. RNAcentral's name for it is "tRNA-Arg". It matches the Rfam family "tRNA". Rfam says of the family: Transfer RNA (tRNA) molecules are approximately 80 nucleotides in length. Their secondary structure includes four short double-helical elements and three loops (D, anti-codon, and T loops). The record is from RNAcentral.